CCUACGGGUGGCAGCAGUGGGGAAUAUUGCACAAUGGGGGAAACCCUGAUGCAGCGACGCCGCGUGAGUGAAGAAGUAUUUCGGUAUGUAAAGCUCUAUCAGCCGGGAAGAAAAUGACGGUACCUGAUUAAGAAGCCCCGGCUAACUACGUGCCAGCAGCCGCGGUAAUACGGAGGGGGCAAGCGUUAUCCGGAUUUACUGGGGGUAAAGGGAGCGUAGUGGGGUGCACAAGGCCGGCGUGAAAUGCCGGGGCUUAACCCCGGAAGUGCCUUGGAAACUGGGCAGCUAGAGUGCAGGGGAGGUAAGCGGAAUUCCCGGUGUAGCGGUGAAAUGCAUAGAUAUUGGGAGGAACCCCGAUGGCGAAGGCGGCUUGCUGGACUGUAACUGACGUUGAGGCUCGAAAGCGUGGGGAGCGAACAGGAUUAGAUACCCCUGUAGUC
This 440-nucleotide ribosomal RNA is filed under the name uncultured bacterium. RNAcentral describes it as "partial 16S ribosomal RNA". It matches the Rfam family "Bacterial small subunit ribosomal RNA", at positions 338 to 795 of the family's 1533-position model. The record is from RNAcentral.